AGUGAACGCUGGCGGUAGGCCUAACACAUGCAAGUCGAACGGCAGCACAGUAAGAGCUUGCUCUUACGGGUGGCGAGUGGCGGACGGGUGAGGAAUACAUCGGAAUCUACUUUUUCGUGGGGGAUAACGUAGGGAAACUUACGCUAAUACCGCAUACGACCUACGGGUGGAAGCAGGGGAUCUUCGGACCUUGCGCGAUUGAAUGAGCCGAUGUCGGAUUAGCUAGUUGGCGGGGUAAAGGCCCACCAAGGCGACGAUCCGUAGCUGGUCUGAGAGGAUGAUAACCCAACUUGAACUGAGACACGGUCCAGACUCCUACGGGAGGCAGCAGUGGGGAAUAUUGGACAAUGGGCGCAAGCCUGAUCCAGCCAUACCGCGUGGGUGAAGAAGGCCUUCGGGUUGUAAAGCCCUUUUGUUGGGAAAGAAAAGCAGCAGGUUAAUACCCCGCUGUUCUGACGGUACCCAAAGAAUAAGCACCGGCUAACUUCGUG
Molecule: ribosomal RNA, 491 nt
Filed under: uncultured bacterium
Lineage: Bacteria
Description: partial 16S ribosomal RNA
Rfam family: Bacterial small subunit ribosomal RNA
Source: RNAcentral